AUGGAUGCUUCAAAUAUUGCACUUUUCUUAGCUCGGGCUGUGAUUGAUGAUAUGCUUUCCCUAUUGAACUUGGAUGAAACUAGUAAUAGGCUACCACCAAAAGCAGGGGUACAACUCGAACACUUGUUUAUGCUCGCCACACAGAGGAAUAGCAUGAAGCAACUCGAGGGAAUUGAAGUUAACUCAGGAAAAAUAGGUUUAGGAUAG
Vicia faba (fava bean) is the source of this 207-nucleotide non-coding RNA. The record is from the annotation of a GenBank genome assembly. NCBI's taxonomy places the organism in Eukaryota, Viridiplantae, Streptophyta, Magnoliopsida, Fabales, Fabaceae.